This 512-nucleotide ribosomal RNA is filed under the name uncultured bacterium. RNAcentral's name for it is "partial 16S ribosomal RNA". It matches the Rfam family "Bacterial small subunit ribosomal RNA", at positions 28 to 507 of the family's 1533-position model. The record is from RNAcentral.
GACGAACGCUGGCGGCGUGCCUAAUACAUGCAAGUCGAGCGAGCGGAACUAACAGAUUUACUUCGGUAAUGACGUUAGGAAAGCGAGCGGCGGAUGGGUGAGUAACACGUGGGGAACCUGCCCCAUAGUCUGGGAUACCACUUGGAAACAGGUGCUAAUACCGGAUAAGAAAGCAGAUCGCAUGAUCAGCUUUUAAAAGGCGGCGUAAGCUGUCGCUAUGGGAUGGCCCCGCGGUGCAUUAGCUAGUUGGUAAGGUAAAGGCUUACCAAGGCGAUGAUGCAUAGCCGAGUCGAGAGACUGAUCGGCCACAUUGGGACUGAGACACGGCCCAAACUCCUACGGGAGGCAGCAGUAGGGAAUCUUCCACAAUGGACGCAAGUCUGAUGGAGCAACGCCGCGUGAGUGAAGAAGGUGUUCGGAUCGUAAAGCUCUGUUGUUGGUGAAGAAGGAUAGAGGUAGUAACUGGCCUUUAUUUGACGGUAAUCAACCAGAAAGUCACGGCUAACUACGUG